RNAcentral lists this ribosomal RNA (402 nucleotides) under uncultured bacterium. Its description in RNAcentral is "bacterial SSU rRNA". It matches the Rfam family "Bacterial small subunit ribosomal RNA", at positions 355 to 774 of the family's 1533-position model. The record is from RNAcentral.
UGGGGAAUAUUGCACAAUGGGCGAAAGCCUGAUGCAGCAACGCCGCGUGAGUGAUGAAGGCCUUCGGGUUGUAAAGCUCUGUCUUCUGGGACGAUAAUGACGGUACCAGAGGAGGAAGCCACGGCUAACUACGUGCCAGCAGCCGCGGUAAUACGUAGGUGGCAAGCGUUGUCCGGAUUUACUGGGCGUAAAGGAUGCGUAGGCGGAUACUUAAGUCAGAUGUGAAAAUCCCGGGCUUAACUUGGGAACUGCAUUUGAAACUGGGUAUCUAGAGUGCGGGAGAGGAAAGUGGAAUUGCUAGUGUAGCGGUGAAAUGCGUAGAGAUUAGGAAGAACACCAGUGGCGAAGGCGACUUUCUGGACCCUAACUGACGCUGAGGCAUGAAAGCGUGGGGAGCAAACA